Molecule: long non-coding RNA, 355 nt
Filed under: Bos taurus (domestic cattle)
Lineage: Eukaryota; Metazoa; Chordata; Mammalia; Artiodactyla; Bovidae
Description: long non-coding RNA NONBTAT000639
Source: RNAcentral
GUGACUGCAAAUCUGGCUCCUAAGUCACUUAAAGGCAUACAGCAAAAGAAGCCAAGAAUGGCCUCUACCAUUUAUUUAAAUGUCAUUAAUAAAAGCGUCAGUGAACACUGCACAGAAAGUUAGCCUCCAGAGAACAGGACUGGCUGCUCUCCCUCCUUCCUGAGAAUAAAAGCAGACGAAGCAUCCUGAUUCUGUGGUUGUCCUGCCGUCACCUCUGAAAGAGAUUAAAUAAUGGGUGAUGCUCUUGCUACUCUUUGGACCAAAUAAUGUUCCAGAACAAACACUCGUCCUCAGAAAAGAUGGGUUAUUCAUUACCCCAUAUAAAGAGUAUUAGCUUAUGAAUGUCUCACUUUGC